RNAcentral lists this ribosomal RNA (460 nucleotides) under uncultured bacterium. RNAcentral describes it as "partial 16S ribosomal RNA". It matches the Rfam family "Bacterial small subunit ribosomal RNA", at positions 338 to 795 of the family's 1533-position model. The record is from RNAcentral.
CCUACGGGAGGCAGCAGUGAGGAAUAUUGGUCAAUGGACGAGAGCCUGAACCAGCCAAGUAGCGUGAAGGAUGACUGCCCUACGGGUUGUAAACUUCUUUUAUAUGGGAAUAAAAUGUGCCACGUGUGGGAUUUUGUAUGUACUAUAUGAAUAAGGAUCGGCUAACUCCGUGCCAGCAGCCGCGGUAAUACGGAGGAUCCGAGCGUUAUCCGGAUUUAUUGGGUUUAAAGGGAGCGUAGAUGGGUUGUUAAGUCAGUUGUGAAAGUUUGCGGCUCAACCGUAAAAUUGCAGUUGAAACUGGCAGUCUUGAGUACAGUAGAGGUGGGCGGAAUUCGUGGUGUAGCGGUGAAAUGCUUAGAUAUCACGAAGAACUCCGAUUGCGAAGGCAGCUCACUGAACUGCAACUGACACUGAGGCUCGAAAGUGUGGGUAUCAAACAGGAUUAGAUACCCUUGUAGUC